AUUGAACGCUGGCGGCAUGCCUUACACAUGCAAGUCGAACGGCAGCACGGGAGCUUGCUCCUGGUGGCGAGUGGCGAACGGGUGAGUAAUACAUCGGAACGUACCCUGAAAGUGGGGGAUAACGUAGCGAAAGUUACGCUAAUACCGCAUAUUCUGUGAGCAGGAAAGAGGGGGGAUCGCAAGACCUCUUGCUUUAGGAGCGGCCGAUGUCGGAUUAGCUAGUUGGUGAGGUAAAGGCUCACCAAGGCGACGAUCCGUAGCGGGUCUGAGAGGAUGAUCCGCCACACUGGGACUGAGACACGGCCCAGACUCCUACGGGAGGCAGCAGUGGGGAAUUUUGGACAAUGGGCGCAAGCCUGAUCCAGCCAUGCCGCGUGAGUGAAGAAGGCCUUCGGGUUGUAAAG
Molecule: ribosomal RNA, 404 nt
Filed under: uncultured bacterium
Lineage: Bacteria
Description: bacterial SSU rRNA
Rfam family: Bacterial small subunit ribosomal RNA
Source: RNAcentral